AGAUUGAACGCUGGCGGCAUGCUUUACACAUGCAAGUCGUGCGGCAGCGCGGGGGCAACCCUGGCGGCGAGCGGCGAACGGGUGAGGAAUACAUCGGAACGUACCCCGGAGUGGGGGAUAACCCAGCGAAAGUUGGACUAAUACCGCAUAUGCUCUGAGGAGGAAAGCAGGGGACUUCGCAAGAGGCCUUGCGCUCUGGGAGCGGCCGAUGUCCGAUUAGCUAGUUGGUGGGGUAAUGGCUCACCAAGGCGACGAUCGGUAGCUGGUCUGAGAGGAUGAUCAGCCACACUGGGACUGAGACACGGCCCAGACUCCUACGGGAGGCAGCAGUGGGGAAUUUUGGACAAUGGGGGCAACCCUGAUCCAGCCAUGCCGCGUGCGGGAAGAAGGCCUCGGUUGUAACCGCUUUGGUCGGAGAAGGCGAGGCUUGAAUACGGCCUGUCUUGACGUACCGGCAGAAUAAGCACCGGCUAACACGUGCCAGCAGCCGCGGUAAC
This 497-nucleotide ribosomal RNA is filed under the name uncultured soil bacterium. RNAcentral describes it as "bacterial SSU rRNA". It matches the Rfam family "Bacterial small subunit ribosomal RNA", at positions 26 to 524 of the family's 1533-position model. The record is from RNAcentral.